Long non-coding RNA from Triticum dicoccoides, 1141 nucleotides. RefSeq lists it as uncharacterized. The record is from RefSeq and is a predicted model, not a curated record. The transcript has 2 exons. Lineage: Eukaryota; Viridiplantae; Streptophyta; Magnoliopsida; Poales; Poaceae.
AUGUGCUACUCGAACAGGGUCUCAGUACACGGAGCACCAUCAGGUAGCCGCCGCCCACAGCAGGUAGCAGCUUCCACCCUUUGAAUCAGCACGAGUUGUUUUAUGCAUUCGUGCAUAGCUGAGGCUUGACUUCAUUAUUGCCAUCCUCAAUCAUCGUUUGAAUCCAAGAUUGUGUUCCGCAUGUGCAGAGGUGUGGGCCCGCACACAAAAAUGACUUGAUGUUCCACCAUAGAGGGCACUUUGCAAUCAAAGAAUUCGAAAAAGACUCCAGCAAGGGGUCAUCAGUCAAUGUAUAGCAACGUGCGUUCUUACUCGCAUAGGAUAGGAGUAUCAUAUCCUUUAAUUUGAUCAACUUGCACCACACCAUUUUUCUUCAUCUUCCGCAUCUGGACCUAACCUACUUUCACACAUGGAAACUAUAUGUACGUGCGCUCUAUAUAUAAGUGCUUGAGUCGAGCACCCAUUUUGCACAAACUGUGAGCCAGGUCGCCAAUCCAAGUAGAAUAGAAACACAGGAAGGAGCAAGGAGACGAACAAUCGAGGAUGGUGAAGAACAACUCCUCUGCGACCUCGGUUCGGCUGAUGCUGAUCCUCCUCGUUCUGCUGGUUUUCGUUGGUGGCAUCCUUGCAAACGAUGGGCCGUCCAAAUGCAGCAACCCUGCGGCUCAGCAAAACUGCCCGUCGAUCCCUAAUGGCGGCUCAUAAGCAUGAGAUGGAUCAUUUCUGCGCAGCAGGAUUCGGUAGGAUCUUGUGUUGGCAGGCGUUGGAAGCUUCCUAGCUAUUACUAGCGGGUAGUGCGCGGCGGCACGCCGCGCCACGUGGAUCGAUAAGCAAUUUAGUUUAUUUGUAAUAUUUGGUAAGUCAUUUGAAGACUUGAUUCGUGACAAAGUAGAUUAUACAAGGAAUGGGUACAUUUAGUUGGUACCUACAUGCAUAAGUUAUCUACAACACAUAGUGAUAGUGAGUAAUGGACGCAGAGUUGUGAAGCUCUUGUUCUUUUCUUAGACUUGAGAUGUUGAUCCUCCGGUUGAGUCUGUCUCUUUGAUGUAGUGCUAGAGAAAUGAGCCUAGUUCUUCUUCUCUCAUUCUUGGUGGUUUGUUUCCUGUGUAAACAAUGUUAAAGUUGUUGCUGGAUGCACGUU